UCACUAUGAUGAAUGUUUUAUUCACCAUUCGCAGUUUACUCCAGAAGGGUGUUACCCUCGUGUUGGCGAAAUCUUCCUUGGAUGUCUGAGUGA
This 93-nucleotide small nucleolar RNA is filed under the name Callorhinchus milii (elephant shark). RNAcentral describes it as "Small nucleolar RNA SNORD14 (ENSCMIG00000013986.1)". It matches the Rfam family "Small nucleolar RNA SNORD14". Rfam says of the family: U14 small nucleolar RNA (U14 snoRNA) is required for early cleavages of eukaryotic precursor rRNAs. In yeasts, this molecule possess a stem-loop region (known as the Y-domain) which is essential for function. The record is from Rfam by way of RNAcentral. Lineage: Eukaryota; Metazoa; Chordata; Chondrichthyes; Chimaeriformes; Callorhinchidae.